AGAGUUUGAUCCUGGCUCAGGACGAACGCUGGCGGCGUGCCUAAUACAUGCAAGUCGAGCGGACAGAUGGGAGCUUGCUCCCUGAUGUUAGCGGCGGACGGGUGAGUAACACGUGGGUAACCUGCCUGUAAGACUGGGAUAACUCCGGGAAACCGGGGCUAAUACCGGAUGCUUGUUUGAACCGCAUGGUUCAAACAUAAAAGGUGGCUUCGGCUACCACUUACAGAUGGACCCGCGGCGCAUUAGCUAGUUGGUGAGGUAACGGCUCACCAAGGCAACGAUGCGUAGCCGACCUGAGAGGGUGAUCGGCCACACUGGGACUGAGACACGGCCCAGACUCCUACGGGAGGCAGCAGUAGGGAAUCUUCCGCAAUGGACGAAAGUCUGACGGAGCAACGCCGCGUGAGUGAUGAAGGUUUUCGGAUCGUAAAGCUCUGUUGUUAGGGAAGAACAAGUACCGUUCGAAUAGGGCGGUACCUUGACGGUACCUAACCAGAAAGCCACGGCUAACUACGUGCCAGCAGCCGCGGUAAUACGUAGGUGGCAAGCGUUGUCCGGAAUUAUUGGGCGUAAAGGGCUCGCAGGCGGUUUCUUAAGUCUGAUGUGAAAGCCCCCGGCUCAACCGGGGAGGGUCAUUGGAAACUGGGGAACUUGAGUGCAGAAGAGGAGAGUGGAAUUCCACGUGUAGCGGUGAAAUGCGUAGAGAUGUGGAGGAACACCAGUGGCGAAGGCGACUCUCUGGUCUGUAACUGACGCUGAGGAGCGAAAGCGUGGGGAGCGAACAGGAUUAGAUACCCUGGUAGUCCACGCCGUAAACGAUGAGUGCUAAGUGUUAGGGGGUUUCCGCCCCUUAGUGCUGCAGCUAACGCAUUAAGCACUCCGCCUGGGGAGUACGGUCGCAAGACUGAAACUCAAAGGAAUUGACGGGGGCCCGCACAAGCGGUGGAGCAUGUGGUUUAAUUCGAAGCAACGCGAAGAACCUUACCAGGUCUUGACAUCCUCUGACAAUCCUAGAGAUAGGACGUCCCCUUCGGGGGCAGAGUGACAGGUGGUGCAUGGUUGUCGUCAGCUCGUGUCGUGAGAUGUUGGGUUAAGUCCCGCAACGAGCGCAAUCCUUGAUCUUAGUUGCCAGCAUUCAGUUGGGCACUCUAAGGUGACUGCCGGUGACAAACCGGAGGAAGGUGGGGAUGACGUCAAAUCAUCAUGCCCCUUAUGACCUGGGCUACACACGUGCUACAAUGGACAGAACAAAGGGCAGCGAAACCGCGAGGUUAAGCCAAUCCCACAAAUCUGUUCUCAGUUCGGAUCGCAGUCUGCAACUCGACUGCGUGAAGCUGGAAUCGCUAGUAAUCGCGGAUCAGCAUGCCGUGGUGAAUACGUUCCCGGGCCUUGUACACACCGCCCGUCACACCACGAGAGUUUGUAACACCCGAAGUCGGUGAGGUAACCUUUUAGGAGCCAGCCGCCGAAGGUGGGACAGAUGAUUGGGGUGAAGUCGUAACAAGGUAGCCGUA
This 1514-nucleotide ribosomal RNA is filed under the name uncultured Bacillus sp. Its description in RNAcentral is "bacterial SSU rRNA". It matches the Rfam family "Bacterial small subunit ribosomal RNA". The record is from RNAcentral. Lineage: Bacteria; Bacillati; Bacillota; Bacilli; Caryophanales; Bacillaceae.